AUUGAACGCUGGCGGCAUGCCUUACACAUGCAAGUCGAACGGUAACAGGUCUUCGGAUGCUGGCGAGUGGCGAACGGGUGAGUAAUACAUCGGAACGUGCCUAGUAGUGGGGGAUAACUACUCGAAAGAGUGGCUAAUACCGCAUGAGAUCUACGGAUGAAAGCAGGGGAUCGCAAGACCUUGUGCUACUAGAGCGGCCGAUGGCAGAUUAGGUAGUUGGUGGGAUAAAAGCUUACCAAGCCGACGAUCUGUAGCUGGUCUGAGAGGACGAUCAGCCACACUGGGACUGAGACACGGCCCAGACUCCUACGGGAGGCAGCAGUGGGGAAUUUUGGACAAUGGGCGAAAGCCUGAUCCAGCAAUGCCGCGUGCAGGAUGACGGCCUUCGGGUUGUAAACUGCUUUUGUACGGAACGAAAAGCCCCGGGUUAAUACCCUGGGGUCAUGACGGUACCGUAAGAAUAAGCACCGGCUAACUACGUGCCAGCCGCCGCGGUAA
Molecule: ribosomal RNA, 498 nt
Filed under: uncultured bacterium
Lineage: Bacteria
Description: partial 16S ribosomal RNA
Rfam family: Bacterial small subunit ribosomal RNA
Source: RNAcentral